Molecule: small RNA, 428 nt
Filed under: Pan troglodytes (chimpanzee)
Lineage: Eukaryota; Metazoa; Chordata; Mammalia; Primates; Hominidae
Description: retained intron
Source: RNAcentral
CGUGGAAGACAUAGACGCGGGUGCCAUCGGGCAGCGGCUCUCUAACGGGCUGGCGCGACUCUCCAGCCCUGUGCUGCACCGACUGCGGCUGCGAGAGGAUGAGAACGCAGAGCCCGUGGGCACCACCUACCAGAAGACGGAUGCAGCUGUGGAAAUGAAGCGGAUUAACCGAGAGCAGUUCUGGGAGCAGGCCAAGAAGGAAGAAGAGCUGCGGAAGGAGGAGGAGCGGAAGAAGGCCCUGGAUGAGAGGCUCAGGUUCGAGCAGGAGCGGAUGGAGCAGGAGCGGCAGGAGCAAGAGGAGCGCGAGCGGCGCUACCGGGAGCGGGAGCAGCAGAUCGAGGAGCACAGGUGAGCCUGCCCGCCCGGAGCGCUCCAGGGGCCCCCGGGCGCACCCUGACGGGUGCUGGCUGCUUAUCGUUCCAGGAGGA